ACGAGGAAAGUGAAAUUUAGGGUUUUUGUUCACCAUCGGAGAACUGCUAAUCGGUAGUUCUUUAGGAAAUGAUUUCUGUCAUCAAUUUUGGGAUUUUUUCCGUUUUCUUGUGCUCAUUCUGAAAUCACGAGAGUUAAGUGGAUUCGGUGAAGGAUUUAGAGCUUGAGAUCGAUACUAUCGUCGAUGGGUUUGAGUGAAGAUCCAUUAAAGGACUAUACCAGCACCAAGGCCACCGUUCAGGGCAGGUGGUGGAUCUGCUUCUUCGAAUGGUGGAACAGUUGUCAUACCUCACCCAGUUGUGCCACCAACUAUGAGCAGGAAGGAACAAGUUGCAGCACAAGCAGCAGUGCACAACUAUGCCUUGACGCAUCGUGGGUUGCCAGGUUUUGGAAGGAAACCAACUAGACCUUUGCAUGAAGUAUUCAAGCCACAACAACCAACGAAGAAGAAUAAAGAUACGAAUAACAUCUAGGAAACUCUAUGGUUAAUACACACUAUAAAUUUUGGUAUCGUUUGUCUUUUUACGUUGAUCAUACAACCUCUGAAACAAUUAAACAGUUGCUUGCUGGUAUCUUCGAAACAAUUUAACUUAAUUUAUUAUUCUAUA
Papaver somniferum (opium poppy) is the source of this 607-nucleotide long non-coding RNA. RefSeq lists it as uncharacterized. Lineage: Eukaryota; Viridiplantae; Streptophyta; Magnoliopsida; Ranunculales; Papaveraceae. The record is from RefSeq and is a predicted model, not a curated record. The transcript has 2 exons.